Molecule: ribosomal RNA, 490 nt
Filed under: uncultured bacterium
Lineage: Bacteria
Description: partial 16S ribosomal RNA
Rfam family: Bacterial small subunit ribosomal RNA
Source: RNAcentral
GAUGAACGCUAGCUACAGGCUUAACACAUGCAAGUCGAGGGGCAGCAUGGUCUUAGCUUGCUAAGGCCGAUGGCGACCGGCGCACGGGUGAGUAACACGUAUCCAACCUGCCGUCUACUCUUGGACAGCCUUCUGAAAGGAAGAUUAAUACAAGAUGGCAUCAUGAGUCCGCAUGUUCACAUGAUUAAAGGUAUUCCGGUAGACGAUGGGGAUGCGUUCCAUUAGAUAGUAGGCGGGGUAACGGCCCACCUAGUCUUCGAUGGAUAGGGGUUCUGAGAGGAAGGUCCCCCACAUUGGAACUGAGACACGGUCCAAACUCCUACGGGAGGCAGCAGUGAGGAAUAGUGAUCAAUGGGCGCAGGCCUGAACCAGCCAAGUAGCGUGAAGGAUGACUGCCCUAUGGGUUGUAAACUUCUUUUAUAAAGGAAUAAAGUCGGGUAUGUAUACCCGUUUGCAUGUACUUUAUGAAUAAGGAUCGGCUAACUCCGUG